UCCAGCGGUCAUCAUCUCUGACGAUUUCUCCCUCUGGUUUGAGCAAAACAAGAUAGUUAAAGAGAUUUUAGUUGUCACUCGUGUCCUACAUUCUGAAAGAAAAUCCCAUUGGUUCUUCUAAACCGCUCGGCAAUAGAUUCAGAAAGGAGGACAUGCGACUGUUGGGAUCGGAUGCAUUUACGCGGAGGUCAAAUUCUUUACAAAGAGACAUCUGAGUAGAUCAUGCUGGCUAUGCUCUUGACCUGGACCAUAAUAGCCUUAACAGAGAACCUACUCGGUGGCAGCAAGAUGACUCUUUCUCAUCAUCUAGUCCUAAACAUCACAUUUCUUGUAGGCUGAGCAGAGAGUGCGUGAAGAAAGUGAGAAGCUGAGGCAGCAAGAGCAUGAGCAAAUUGCAGAAAAGAGAAGCAAGAUUUGGCUGGCCUUUUCUUUUAGUUAUAAUUAUAUCAAUUCAGAAAGAAAGAGAAUCAAAGUAUUUGGUUCUUGUCUGCUUAGUUAAUGAAGCGGUUGACAUUUACUCUCUUUUGUCUGAUUAGAAUUGCUGCCAAGGCAGAAGAAAAGAAAGAAAGAUGCAACCUUGAUUGAGCGGCAAAAGGAGCAAGUUGGUUUCUUUCUGCUGUUAUUCUCAAGGAAAGUUGAGGCGCAGGUGCAUCUAUAGUGAUAUAUAGGAUUUCCUGGAGCAGAAGAGCGCUGGGCGACAGGAGCUAUCUGAAUAUCAGAAACAGAUUGGGGAUCAGUAUAUUGCAAAGGUCGAGAAGCAGUUGGAGAGGUGGCAAAAUGCCAGGAAAGCGAGAAAUGCAAACCUUGAUUUUAUUUGUUCGGGUUCCUUUAAUUGUGUUGACUUGAUAAACCUAACCAAAUCGAUAGUAUAUGUCAAGACAAUAAUUUUGCUGUCAACAAUAAGGUUAUGAUCCCUCUUGCACCUAAUGAAAAAUGUU
This is a long non-coding RNA of Eucalyptus grandis, 938 nucleotides long. RefSeq lists it as uncharacterized. The transcript is spliced from 5 exons. NCBI's taxonomy places the organism in Eukaryota, Viridiplantae, Streptophyta, Magnoliopsida, Myrtales, Myrtaceae. The record is from RefSeq and is a predicted model, not a curated record.